UUAAAUUAGUCGAUAAAAUUAAAGGAAGGAAACAUUUUUAAAAUAGGGGCAAAUGGGUCAAAAGAAUCAAUUGAAGAGAAUAUUCUUAAUUGAUUGAGGAAAAGAUAAAGGAAAGAUUUAGACGAAAUUGAGGAGGGAGUUAAAUCUUUAAAUAGGAGUUGUUAAAAAUAGAAAAGAGGGGGGGACGGAAAUUUGAAGGAAGUGGGAAGACUCAGCUAGGGCUAACAAGUGUUAGAAGAAAAACUAAGAGGAGAUCAAGGUACGUGGAUAUAUUCAAUCCUUCUACUAGAAUAAUUUUAGUAUGAAGUAUUGUUAUUAAAAAUGAAAUGAAAUUAUGUAAGGAUAUAAAUGAUUUUUGGUUUUAGGAUUGUAUCUCCAUUGGAGGAUUUGAGGCCUGUUUUCGUACAACAAAGUUGUUCGAUUGUUUUUUUUGGUUCAAGGGAAGUUAAAGUUUUCUUCUUUUCUUUCUUCGGUUUGUUUUCUGUUUUCUUUUUCUGUUUUUUUGUUUUUCUUUUCUUUUUUCCGUUUUUUUUCUGUUUUUCCUGUUUCCUGUUUUUCUUUUUUCUUCUUCUGAUUUUCUGAUUUUGUCUUCUGAUUUUCUGCCUGAUAUUUCAGUAUCAUUGCUAGAUAAUCUCUGGAGUUUUGGUUUCUGAGUUUUGUUCUAUAAAUUAAUUUACUGGACAGCAAAAAAAAUCCUUAUGAACACGGGACUAUAAUCGUGGACUGGGCUCCACGAGGUCUCUAAGUUCAGGAUUUGCGCUGCCCUAGGGCUAGAAGCUCACGCUUAAGCCUUAGACACCCAAAUGAGACACCCACAUGGUUGAUUUUAAUCAAUGAAAUCAAGAGAUGGGUCUGAAUAAUUGGGUUGGUUGUUGAGGUUAAGCCUCAACUCUAUAGACCUACCGCCUAUUCCAGGGUGGUGGUCGAGUAAAUUUAAAGGUCUGCGUUUCGUUUUCAAAGUUUGAGUUAACGAACGAGAGGUAAAUUAAACUAAAACCUAGUCGAUUUAAAAGUUUGAUUUUUUUUACUAAUGCAAACCGUUUCAUUACUCGAGGAUUUAAAUGACAUUUCGGGUUUUAUUUCAACGUUAUGUUUUCUUUGGAUCUAAUAACGAAAAGUGUAAAAGGGAAAUCAACGAGACCUAAGGAACCCUAACCAAUGAAUUUAGGAAUGGACAAAAGGGGCGGGUCAAGCCAGUUCUUGGAAUGGUACUUGACCCGAACUAUUCCCAUCCACCAUCGGGUUAAAUCCUAAAGGAACCCAAGCCUUGAAGUUAGGGAUUUAGAGGUGAACGACGAAAGGAGAAGAUCGAGCAAGUCCCCGGGGUGACACUCAAUCUAACCUCCUCUCUAUUCACCGAAGAUCCACCAAGGUUACGGACCAAGAUUUGGAUUGAGUGGAACACUCAAUCUCUCCUCACUCAUGCCCAAUCAUACGAAAUUACGGAUCCUUAGGGAUUUGACGACACAUGAAAUGAACGGAACUUAACGGGCCUGACGAGGCUACAUGACCCGACGGAGUUUGACGGCAUGGCGAGGGUUUGCUCGAUGACCCAUGUAAAGGAAAAGGGGGGUUCAUAAGAACCUCUAUUGGUAACCAAGGAGGGCUGAUAUGCCCUAAAAGAAAUUCAUGAACUAUAAGAUUGAUUAUAUAUUCACGUACUAAGUUUUUGAAACUUACCCAUGUAAAUGACAAUUUUAUUGCAGAAUAAGGGACGGCUUGGAAUGGACUGGACAGAGGGUUUCACACAUAAAUGGAAUCCUAGGAUAUUAGUUAAAUAAAGAGUCUAUUUGGUUUCCGCUAGUACUUUGAUUUUGUUGUGUACGCCCAUUCGGGCAUAUGGAUCUUGAUUGUAUGUUUAAUUAAAUUUGGGAAUAACCCUAUUUAAAUUAAGAAAAUUCAGGUUAUUACACUGUCAGUCUCAUCUGAAACCCAAUCUGCAUCACUGAAUGCUGAAAUGCUGAAUUCCUUGCUUUUUCUGAGUACAAUUCCCAUACAUUAUGUUCCAGACAGGUAUCUCAACACCUUUUUCAUCAUAUUCCAGUGAAUUUCUUUAGGUUUUUCCAUGAACUGAGCCAGUUUGUUCACUGCAUAGGCAAUGUCAGGCCUUGACAUUAUAAGAUACUGCAAAGAACCAAUUAUUUUUCUAUAAUCAGUGGCUCUUUCUAUCACCUCAUCCUCAUAACAGAACUGCUGAUUUGACUGCAUUGGAGUAGAUACGGGUUUUAGGUUGUCAAAGCCAUGUUUGCUCAAAAGAUUAACAAGGUACAAUUGUUGAUCCAGAAACAGCCCUUCAACAUGCUUCCUCACCCUAAUCCCCAAGAAAUAUUCAAGUUCUCCACACAUUCUAACUGCAAAUUCAGACUUUAGUGUGUCCAAACAUUCCUCUACCUUUGCUGGACUUGAUCCAGUGACCGCCAUAUCAUCUACAUACACAAGUAUGUAAAUUAUAUCAUCAUCAUCAUUGAUUCUAACAAACAAAGAAUCAUCCGAUUGGCAUGCCUUUAACCCAUAUUAUUCAAGAAUUGCUUUAACCUCCUAAACCACAUCCUCGAAGCCUGCUUCAACCCAUACAGUGCUUUUUUUUAAUAGGCACACAUGUUUAGGUUUGGAUUCAUCAAGAAAUCCUAUAGGCUGCCUCAUAACAAUUCUUUCCUCCAACUGCC
RNAcentral lists this long non-coding RNA (2666 nucleotides) under Zostera marina. RNAcentral's name for it is "long non-coding RNA (ZMAR_LNC003258)". Lineage: Eukaryota; Viridiplantae; Streptophyta; Magnoliopsida; Alismatales; Zosteraceae. The record is from RNAcentral.